GGGGAUUUAGCUCAGCGGUAGAGCGCUUGCCUAGUGAGUGCAAGACCCUGGGUUCGGUCCCCAGCUCCG
Non-coding RNA from Rattus norvegicus (Norway rat), 69 nucleotides. The record is from Rfam. Lineage: Eukaryota; Metazoa; Chordata; Mammalia; Rodentia; Muridae.